UGGGGAAUAUUGGACAAUGGGGGCAACCCUGAUCCAGCCAUGCCGCGUGUGUGAAGAAGGCCUUCGGGUUGUAAAGCACUUUCAGUUGGGAGGAAAAGUUUGUGGUUAAUACCCACGAGCCGUGACGUUACCAACAGAAGAAGCACCGGCUAACUCCGUGCCAGCAGCCGCGGUAAUACGGAGGGUGCAAGCGUUAAUCGGAAUUACUGGGCGUAAAGCGCGCGUAGGCGGCUUGUUAAGCGGAAUGUGA
RNAcentral lists this ribosomal RNA (250 nucleotides) under uncultured bacterium. Its description in RNAcentral is "partial 16S ribosomal RNA". It matches the Rfam family "Bacterial small subunit ribosomal RNA", at positions 355 to 597 of the family's 1533-position model. The record is from RNAcentral.